UAAGUGCUAUAUUGUUUGUGUGU
This 23-nucleotide microRNA is filed under the name Gekko japonicus. Its description in RNAcentral is "Gja-Mir-430-o41_3p (mature (guide))". The record is from RNAcentral. Lineage: Eukaryota; Metazoa; Chordata; Lepidosauria; Squamata; Gekkonidae.